RNAcentral lists this unclassified non-coding RNA (389 nucleotides) under Hevea brasiliensis (rubber tree). Lineage: Eukaryota; Viridiplantae; Streptophyta; Magnoliopsida; Malpighiales; Euphorbiaceae. The record is from RNAcentral.
AAUUUUUUUUUUUUUGGGAAGUUUGGGGAAUAAAUUGUAUUUUGGGACAUUAGAGUUUUUGCUUUCAAGUUCCACUGCAUAGCCAAACUUAGUUUAAUCUAUCUUCUUUGUCCUGUCUUGUAUCUCAUGUAUAUCUACCAUGUGAAUUUAUAAUGAGAGAAAUAUAUAUUUUAAUUAUGGUUUAAUAAAAAAAAUAAUUACAAAAAACUAGUUAUUACUUAAGCAUUCAUGAAUCUAUGAAUUUUAGUUUAAUAGUAUUAAAAUUAUUUUUAAAAUUAUGAUAUUUUAAAUUUAAAUUCUGUCAAAUUUAAAUUUAUGAAAAAUAAAAUUAAAAAUUUUGAAGUAAUAUAUAAAAGGCAAAUUAAUUAGAAAAUUAAAGGUAAACAUUA